GCCAAACAAUAGCGCGGUGCAGAUGUAGAAAUGAAAGAAACAAUUGUCCAAGUCGAGGAGACAUAUGGCUCAACUUUCUUGGACCUGAUAAGCUUGGUAAGAAGAAAAUUGUGAUUGCACUGGCUGAUAUUCUAUAUGGAAGCACAAACAACUUAAUCUGUGUAGACCUAAGUCUACAGGAUGAAGUCGGGUUGGUUGAUCUUCAAGUAUUGAAUCAAUACGACGUGAGAUGCAGAGGAAAGCAUGUUGUUGACUAUGUUGCUGAUAAA
Molecule: unclassified non-coding RNA, 269 nt
Filed under: Hevea brasiliensis (rubber tree)
Lineage: Eukaryota; Viridiplantae; Streptophyta; Magnoliopsida; Malpighiales; Euphorbiaceae
Source: RNAcentral